This 524-nucleotide ribosomal RNA is filed under the name uncultured bacterium. RNAcentral's name for it is "partial 16S ribosomal RNA". It matches the Rfam family "Bacterial small subunit ribosomal RNA", at positions 28 to 523 of the family's 1533-position model. The record is from RNAcentral.
GACGAACGCUGGCGGCGUGCCUAAUACAUGCAAGUCGAGCGCAGGAAAUCGACGGAACCCUUCGGGGGGAAGUCGACGGAAUGAGCGGCGGUCGGGUGAGUAACACGUAAAGAACCUGCCCUCAGGUCUGGGAUAACCACGAGAAAUCGGGGCUAAUACCGGAUGGGUCAUCGGACCGCAUGGUCCGAGGAUGAAAGGCGCUUCGGCGUCGCUUGGGGAUGGCUUUGCGGUGGAUUAGCUAGUUGGUGGGGUAAUGGCCCACCAAGGCGACGAGGCAGAGCCGGCCGUAGAGGGUGAUCGGCCACACUGGGACUGAGACACGGCCCAGACUCCUACGGGAGGCAGCAGUAGGGAAUCUUCGACAAUGGACGAAAGUCUGAUGGAGCAACGCCGCGUGAACGAUGAAGGCCUUCGGGUCGUAAAGUUCUGUUGUAAGGGAAGAACAAGUGCCGCAGGCAAUGGCGGCACCUUGACGGUACCUUGCGAGAAAGCCACGGCUAACUACGUGCCAGCCGCCGCCGUAA